RNAcentral lists this ribosomal RNA (497 nucleotides) under uncultured bacterium. RNAcentral describes it as "partial 16S ribosomal RNA". It matches the Rfam family "Bacterial small subunit ribosomal RNA", at positions 28 to 507 of the family's 1533-position model. The record is from RNAcentral.
GAUGAACGCUGGCGGCGUGCCUAAUACAUGCAAGUCGAGCGAACAGACGAGGAGCUUGCUCCUCUGACGUUAACGGCGGACGGGUGAGUAACACGUGGAUAACCUACCUAUAAGACUGGGAUAACUUCGGGAAACCGGAGCUAAUACCGGAUAAUAUAUUGAACCGCAUGGUUCAAUAGUGAAAGACGGUUUUGCUGUCACUUAUAGAUUGAUCCGCGCCGCAUUAGCUAGUUGGUAAGGUAACGGCUUACCAAGGCAACGAUGCGUAGCCGACCUGAGAGGGUGAUCGGCCACACUGGAACUGAGACACGGUCCAGACUCCUACGGGAGGCAGCAGUAGGGAAUCUUCCGCAAUGGGCGAAAGCCUGACGGAGCAACGCCGCGUGAGUGAUGAAGGUCUUCGGAUCGUAAAACGCUGUUAUUAGGGAAGAACAAAUGUGUAAGUAACUAUGCACGUCUUGACGGUACCUAAUCAGAAAGCAACGGCUAACUACGUG